RNAcentral lists this ribosomal RNA (468 nucleotides) under uncultured bacterium. RNAcentral's name for it is "partial 16S ribosomal RNA". It matches the Rfam family "Bacterial small subunit ribosomal RNA", at positions 28 to 507 of the family's 1533-position model. The record is from RNAcentral.
GACGAACGCUGGCGGCGUGCUUAACACAUGCAAGUCGAACGGAAAGGCCCUGCUUUUGUGGGGUGCUCGAGUGGCGAACGGGUGAGUAACACGUGAGUAACCUGCCCUUGACUUUGGGAUAACUUCAGGAAACUGGGGCUAAUACCGGAUAGGAGCUCCUGCUGCAUGGUGGGGGUUGGAAAGUUUCGGCGGUUGGGGAUGGACUCGCGGCUUAUCAGCUUGUUGGUGGGGUAGUGGCUUACCAAGGCUUUGACGGGUAGCCGGCCUGAGAGGGUGACCGGCCACAUUGGGACUGAGAUACGGCCCGGACUCCUACGGGAGGCAGCAGUGGGGAAUAUUGCACAAUGGGCGGAAGCCUUAUGCAGCAACGCCGCGUGCGGGAUGACGGCCUUCGGGUUGUAAACCGCUUUCGCCUGUGACGAAGCGUGAGUGACGGUAAUGGGUAAAGAAGCACCGGCUAACUACGUG